RNAcentral lists this ribosomal RNA (397 nucleotides) under uncultured bacterium. RNAcentral's name for it is "partial 16S ribosomal RNA". It matches the Rfam family "Bacterial small subunit ribosomal RNA", at positions 523 to 918 of the family's 1533-position model. The record is from RNAcentral.
AUACGUAGGGGGCGAGCGUUGUCCGGAAUGAUUGGGCGUAAAGGGCGUGUAGGCGGCCUGUUAAGUCUGAAGUGAAAGUCCUGUUUUCAAGGUGGGAAUUGCUUUGGAUACUGCCGCGCUUGAGUGCAGGAGAGGUUAUCGGAAUUCCCGGUGUAGCGGUGAAAUGCGUAGAGAUCGGGAGGAACACCAGUGGCGAAGGCGGGUAACUGGACUGCAACUGACGCUGAGGCGCGAAAGUGUGGGGAGCAAACAGGAUUAGAUACCCUGGUAGUCCACACUGUAAACGAUGAAUGCUAGGUGUAAGAGGUAUCGACCCCUUUUGUGCCGGAGUCAACACAAUAAGCAUUCCGUCUGGGGAGUACGGCCGCAAGGUUGAAACUCAAAUGAAUUGGCGGGG